GAUGAACGCUGGCGGCGUGCCUAAUACAUGCAAGUCGAGCGAAGGGACGAGAAGCUUGCUCCUCUGAUGUUAGCGGCGAACGGGUGAGUAACGCGUGGAUAACCUACCUAUAAGACGGGGAUAACUUCGGGAAACCGGAGCUAAUACCGGAUAAUAUUUGGAACCGCAUGGUUCAAAAGUGAAAGACGGUAUUGCUGUCAUACAUAGAUGACUCCGGUCUGCAUUGGUUAGUUGGUAAGGUAACGGCUUACCAAGGCAACAUAGCUUGGCCGACCUGAGAGGGUGACGGCCCACCUGGGACUUGGGACCCGGUCCAGCCCCCUCGGGGAGGCACCAGUAGGGAUCUUCGCCCAUUGGGCGAAAGCUUGCCGGAGCACCGCCCCGUGGUUGAUGAAGUUCUUCGGUCCUUAAGCCCUUGUUAUUAGGGAAGACCAUAUUUGGAAGUAACUGUGCACAUCGUGACGGUACCUAAUCAGAAAGCCACGGCUAACUACGUG
This 497-nucleotide ribosomal RNA is filed under the name uncultured bacterium. RNAcentral describes it as "partial 16S ribosomal RNA". It matches the Rfam family "Bacterial small subunit ribosomal RNA", at positions 28 to 507 of the family's 1533-position model. The record is from RNAcentral.